Molecule: unclassified non-coding RNA, 329 nt
Filed under: soil metagenome
Description: partial contains 5.8S ribosomal RNA, internal transcribed spacer 2, and large subunit ribosomal RNA
Rfam family: 5.8S ribosomal RNA (bases 1-120)
Source: RNAcentral
GAUGAAGAACGCAGCGAAAUGCGAUAAGUAAUGUGAAUUGCAGAAUUCAGUGAAUCAUCGAAUCUUUGAACGCACAUUGCGCCCCCUGGUAUUCCGGGGGGCAUGCCUGUCCGAGCGUCAUUACAACCCUCAAGCUCAGCUUGGUGUUGGGCCCCGCCGCCCCGGCGGGCCCUAAAGUCAGUGGCGGUGCCGUCCGGCUCCGAGCGUAGUAAUUCUUCUCGCUCUGGAGGUCCGGUCGUGUGCUCGCCAGCAACCCCCAAUUUUUUUCACGUUGACCUCGGAUCAGGUAGGGAUACCCGCUGAACUUAAGCAUAUCAAUAAGCGGAGGA